RNAcentral lists this ribosomal RNA (508 nucleotides) under uncultured soil bacterium. Its description in RNAcentral is "bacterial SSU rRNA". It matches the Rfam family "Bacterial small subunit ribosomal RNA", at positions 8 to 526 of the family's 1533-position model. The record is from RNAcentral.
AGAGUUUGAUCCUGGCUCAGGAUGAACGCUGGCGGCGUGCUUAACACAUGCAAGUCGAACGAUGACCUCCAGCUUGCUGGGGUGAUUAGUGGCGAACGGGUGAGUAACACGUGAGUAACCUGCCCUUAACUCUGGGAUAAGCCUGGGAAACUGGGUCUAAUACCGGAUAUGACUCCUCAUCGCAUGGUGGGGGGUGGAAAGCUUUUUGUGGUUUUGGAUGGACUCGCGGCCUAUCAGCUUGUUGGUGAGGUAAUGGCUCACCAAGGCGACGACGGGUAGCCGGCCUGAGAGGGUGACCGGCCACACUGGGACUGAGACACGGCCCAGACUCCUACGGGAGGCAGCAGUGGGGAAUAUUGCACAAUGGGCGAAAGCCUGAUGCAGCGACGCCGCGUGAGGGAUGACGGCCUUCGGGUUGUAAACCUCUUUCAGUAGGGAAGAAGCGAAAGUGACGGUACCUGCAGAAGAAGCGCCGGCUAACUNNNNNNNNCAGCCGCCGCGGUAAUAC